RNAcentral lists this ribosomal RNA (2939 nucleotides) under Triticum aestivum (bread wheat). RNAcentral describes it as "partial small subunit ribosomal RNA". Lineage: Eukaryota; Viridiplantae; Streptophyta; Magnoliopsida; Poales; Poaceae. The record is from RNAcentral.
CUCCCCCUCCCGGAUCCGUUCCUUCCGUCCUCCCCCUUCCUCCCUCCCUCCACGGCUCCACCCACCAACUCUCCCUCCCUCCCUCCUCCUCCCGGAGGAGCGCCACCCUCGCCUCCCUCUCCGCCUCGUCGUCACCGGCGCGCGUCGCCCGCGCCCGUCCACCGAGGUCACAGACCUAACCGGAGUCGAGGCGUUGUUCCAUAAUCAGCACGGGUGGUGCUCUGCUCAUAAGGAAUCAUCCUUCUUCUAUGCUGUCGGGCCCAGGACAAAUGGCCCAGCUGUUGCACCCUCAGGACUCUGGGUUCUAUGGAAGAAAGGAAAUGGGGGGCCGGUGGAGCUUUCUUGAGUUGUUUGGCCUUCGCCGGCGCCUACGGUCCACGAGGAAGAUGAUCUCUGACAAGAAACAUGGAAGUAAGCUUCGAGGUUGCUAUGUUCCAUUCAAAGACGAAGACAGCGGUGUCACGGAUGAGCAGAGAGUUGUCAUAGAUGAGUACAAAAACACAAAAGUUAAAAAUAAACAAAAGGGUUCAAAAAGGAGUUCUGGUAAGUCUGGUCUGAAGUCAUUGUUUUCAAGAAAAUUGCAUGGAAAGGAAGAUCAGAAAGAGAAGAUGCUUCCUGUCGGACCAAAGCUGCUGCGCACCCUUUCCAUACAUUACUUGGAAAACAAUGACUAUGUUCUUAAUGGUCAGUCAGCUGCCAAUGGUGACGGUUCUUCACACGGCGCUAAACUGUCACCACCAAAUGACACCAGUACAAACUUGCAACAGGAUACGUUAAGCAACCAGGAUGGUUCUGGUACUGACCAUGUGAAACGGAAGAGCCACCGUAGCAUCUCCAUGGAUGGGGUUCUUCAUAAGGUCCCCUAUGGGCAGAGGCUUUCUGGAGAUAACAUUAGACAAGAACUUCCUCGAUCAGCCUCUGCCACAUAUGACAGGGAUGGUCUGAAACCUUACAUUGGCACUGCUGCAAAGAGACAUGGGAACAGCGGUUUUCGGCGUUCGCGUUCCCUAUCUGAAUCACUGGAGAGCUACUCUCACUUGCUGGAUUCCAUUUCAAGCAGUGAAUCCAAAAGGGUGCUGACAAGCUCGAAGUCCACUAGGGACCACUCUUUGGAUGGCCCUGUUGCAGCAACUGCACUGCAGAGAAUUUCCAAUUCUCAGCUCAGAUCAAAAAGUGUGGUUAGACUUGCUGAAUUUCUUGUGAUUCCAGAAGACACAUUGGCAUCAGAAGUUUCAGAGGAAGUUGCUGGAGAUGUGAAACUUGCUGUGGAUGAGGCUUCUUGUAGUGAGGUUGCUGGUGGCUCUGAGAAUCCUGUGUCACUUGAAGAGUUGUUGAGCGAGUGUGAUGUCAUGGAAUCAUCGACUAAAGACAAUUUAUGUAUUGCUCCUUUAGCUUCAGAGGUGGUUGAAGUUUCAGAAGAACAAGCUCCUUUAGCUUCUUCAGAGAUGGUUGAUGUUUCAGAAGAAGCUGCAACUUAUGAUGAUGAUCUGGAGGUUCUCUCAUCGACCCAAGCCAAGCUGUGUACCGACCCUUCAGCAUCUGAAGUUGACAUCCCAGAAGAACAUGCAACAACCUGCAAUGAUGAUGAUGAUGAUGAUCUUAUUCACUCAUCAACUGGAGCUGAUCCAUGCACUCUUCUUAGUCUUCUGCAAUCAGAAGACGUCGACAUUGCAGAACAGCAAGUGCCACCUUCUGAUGAUCAAAUUCAGUCAUGCAUCACCCAACCUUCAGAAGACAUGGACAUUGCGGAAGAACUGGCAACAAUCUCUGAAGACAAUCAGAUUCAUUCAUUUGAUGCUUUGAAAUCAGUGAAAGACCAUCCUGCUGCUAGUUCAGAGAACCAUAUCAUGCUGGAUGAUUCAUCGCUGGUGGAAAAAACUGCCCAUUCAAAUGAAGUGCACGAUCAUUCAGUUGGCAGUGAUGAUGAUCUCGAUUCUAGCACUUCUGUCAAACCACCAACUAGCUCAUUGACUCUGGAGAACAUACUUCAGGAGAACAACCUCAGCGACCUGAACGCCCUCCAAGAAGCGGCAGCAGACCCAAAGAACGAGGCCGAGCUGGCCUACGUGAAGGACAUAUUCAACAAGUCGAGCUUCCGCGACGAGGCGCUGUUCGAAGCUUGGUGCUCGCAGAACCGCGCCGCGCUCCAGGAGGACGACUGCCAGCACUACGAUGCCGCCGCCGCGGCCAUCGACUUCACCGACAUGUCGGCCGACGAGCUGCUCCUGUUCGACCUGACGAACGAGGCUCUUCUCGACGUGUACAAGGACUACGCCGCCGGCGAGUCCAGGCAGCCCCGCUUCUCCGCCUUCCAGCGGCCCAAGCCCGUCGGCGAGCGCGCCCUCAGGGAGCUGCGGUCCAGGGUGGGCCGCCGGCUCGACGAGCGGCCGCAGUCCGGCGUGGAGGUCGACGUCGACGCCGUGCUGUCGAGCGACCUGGCCAGGGCGGACCGCUGGAGCAACUUCCGGCGAGAGGCCGACCAGGUGGCGGGCCUGGUGGCGAACUCCGUGCUCGACAGGCUCGUCACCGAGCUCGCGCUCCAGCUCGCGAAGUUUUGAGUCUGCAUAGAUAGUUAGCCAGCCAUUCAUUUAUUCUGCCUGCCCCCUUUUUUAUUGGUUAGUUAAUUAAUUUAGAUGCUUGAUGAUGAUACAUAUACACCAUGGAAGUGUGAGGGGAUGUUACAUUACAUUACAUUAUCAUGUAGAUAUCAGAAACCAUUUUUGGUUCUUUCCUCCUGGGAGAGGAGAGGAGAAUACAUAGGAACAUGAGUCAGGAGAAUGUUGUUAGGUCAUCUUAGUGAGUCAUCUAGACUAGCUGCUGAGAAUUGGGUGGACAUGGGAAGCACCUGUUUUGUACUAGUGUCUGUUUUGAUGUAUCUUACUUCAGGUAAGAAAAAUCUUGGAACAACCAUUUGUCGGUUCAUGCCUUUCUGGUCUUGC